GGCAUUAAUAAGCAUAAACCUAACCUCAUCAGAUCUCUAAGCUAAGCAGGGUUGGGCCUGGUUUGUACUUGGAUAGGAGACUGCUGGGAGUACCAGGUGCC
Molecule: ribosomal RNA, 101 nt
Filed under: Periophthalmus magnuspinnatus
Lineage: Eukaryota; Metazoa; Chordata; Actinopteri; Gobiiformes; Gobiidae
Source: RNAcentral